RNAcentral lists this ribosomal RNA (318 nucleotides) under uncultured Ruminococcus sp. RNAcentral's name for it is "partial 16S ribosomal RNA". Lineage: Bacteria; Bacillati; Bacillota; Clostridia; Eubacteriales; Oscillospiraceae. The record is from RNAcentral.
GGAGUCUGGACCGUUCUCAGUUCCAAUGUGGCCGUUCAACCUCUCAGUCCGGCUACCGAUCGUCGCUUUGGUGGGCCGUUACCCCGCCAACUGGCUAAUCGGACGCGAGCUCAUCUUUGAUCGCCGGAGCUUUGGUGCCGUGGUCAUGCGUCCUCGGCACUUUAUGCGGUAUUAGCACAAGUUUCCCUGCGUUAUCCCCCAAUCAAAGGCAGAUUGCUCACGUGUUACUCACCCGUCCGCCACUAACUUUACAAAAACCGAAGUUUCUCGUAUCGUCCGUUCGACUUGAAUGUGUUAUGCACGCCGCCAGCGUUUAUC